This 353-nucleotide ribosomal RNA is filed under the name Cafius litoreus. RNAcentral describes it as "partial 12S ribosomal RNA". The record is from RNAcentral. Lineage: Eukaryota; Metazoa; Arthropoda; Insecta; Coleoptera; Staphylinidae.
UUUAAAUGUAAAUUAUUAAACUUAAUUAUUAAUAGCUAUGUUCUUUAAAGUUUAAGGAUUUGGCGGUAUUUUAGUCUAUUUAGAGGAACCUGUUCUAUAAUCGAUAAUCCACGAUUUAUUAUACUUACUUUAUUGGUUUAUAUAUCGUCGUAGUUUGAAUGUUUUUAAAGAAUUUUAAUGUUCAAGAUUCUUAAUAAGGAAGGAAAUCAGAUCAAGGUGUAGCUUAUAGGUGAGGAGAAAUGGGUUACAAUAAAUUUAUUUAUAUGGUAUAGAUAUUUGAAAAAUUUCUAUUAAAGUGGAUUUAAAAGUAAUAAGAUUGAAUUUAAUUUUAUGAUUUUAGCUCUAAAAUAUGU